CAGGAGUAUGAAGAAGCCAGCCCUCCUGAGAGAGCGGCAGAUGGAGAGGCGGAGGAUGAUAAUUACAUGCCUCCCUCCGAAGAUGAGGCAAGCCUCGACGAUGACGAAUUCGUCGUGCCAGAGGAUCCCGUCGAACAAGAGCGCUUCAAGCGCCGGCUUAUAGCCACGGCAAAUAGCCUUAAGAAAAACCAACAACAGGUUCAAGCUGAUCAAGAUUUGCUAGCUGAUAGAUGGACUGAUGUCCUGGCGGCCGAGGAAUAUAAACUCGAACGCCCCUCUAAGAGUUACCCAAAGUGCAGGUUGCUUCCCCAACUGGAGGAGGAAGCACCAAAACCC
RNAcentral lists this ribosomal RNA (336 nucleotides) under Triticum aestivum (bread wheat). RNAcentral describes it as "partial small subunit ribosomal RNA". Lineage: Eukaryota; Viridiplantae; Streptophyta; Magnoliopsida; Poales; Poaceae. The record is from RNAcentral.